CGGUAUCUCAAGUACAUUAAGGACCGAAGACACCCCCGUUGCCUAGUCAAACUGAACACAAUGACCAACAGAGGCUGAAUUCCAAACACAUAACAAGAAAAGAUAUAAAAGCUCAAAGAAAUACAAGAUAACUAAAUAUCCAAUAAUAAAUAACUGAAACCAACCAAGUCCACAACAAAAUCUACAAAGCCUAUAAUCAAUACCGAAAGCCAAUCUAAGCUGAGAGAUGCCCC
RNAcentral lists this long non-coding RNA (233 nucleotides) under Capsicum annuum. RNAcentral's name for it is "long non-coding RNA (CANN_LNC020884)". The record is from RNAcentral. Lineage: Eukaryota; Viridiplantae; Streptophyta; Magnoliopsida; Solanales; Solanaceae.